Molecule: long non-coding RNA, 773 nt
Filed under: Mytilus galloprovincialis (Mediterranean mussel)
Lineage: Eukaryota; Metazoa; Mollusca; Bivalvia; Mytilida; Mytilidae
Source: RNAcentral
AAGAGGUACGUUGUUGUUCAUUAAUAUUGUUUUUUUAAAGAUAGAUUUUGGUUUUUAGUGAUCUCUUUACAAAUAGGUACGUUGUUGGUCAUUAGUUUUUAACUUUUACUUUGGUAUUUAUUUAUACCUAUUAAUAGGUCUUUCUUGUCUAUGUUUUUUUAACAUGUAUUUUGGUUUUCAGUGAUCUCUUUAAAAAGAGGUACGUUGUUGGUCAUUAAUAUUUAACUUUUUCUUUGGUUUUUAUUUAUACCUAUUAAUAGGUCUUGUUAGUCUAUGUUUUUUUAAACAUGGAUUUGGGUCUUUAGUGAUCUCUUUAAUAAGAUGUACGUUGUUAGUCAUUCAUAUUUAACUUUUAAUUUGGUAUUUAUUUUUAUCUAUUUAUGAGGUCUUUCUAGUCUAUAUUUUUUAUAACAUGUAUUUUGGUUUUCAGUGAACCCUUAACCAUAGACGUACAUUGGUGGUCAUUAGAUUUAACUUUUAAUUUGGUAUUCAUUAAUAUCUAUUAAUAGGUCAUUCUCGUCAAUCCUUUUUAAAUAUGUAUUUUGGUUUUUAGUGAUCUCUUUAAAAAAGAGGUACGUUGUUGUUCAUUAAUAUUGUUUUUUUAAAGAUAGAUUUUGGUUUUUAGUGAUCUCUUUACAAAUAGGUACGUUGUUGGUCAUUAGUUUUUAACUUUUACUUUGGUAUUUAUUUAUACCUAUUAAUAGGUCUUUCUUGUCUAUGUUUUUUUAACAUGUAUUUUGGUUUUCAGUGAUCUCUUUAAAAAGAGGUACGUU